Molecule: non-coding RNA, 2050 nt
Organism: Candidatus Kaiserbacteria bacterium
Lineage: Bacteria; Candidatus Kaiseribacteriota
Source: Rfam
UUUAAUUAGAGUUUGAUCCUAGCUCAGGAUGAAUGCUGGCGGCGUGGAUGAGGCAUGCAAGUCGAAUGAGUUUAAGCUCAUGGCAGACGAGGUAGGAACACGUAGGUACGUACCCCAAAGUCAGGGAUAAUCCGUCGAAAGGCGGAACAAUACUUGAUGGUCCCAGCACUUUAUUUAGAUUAUAAUAAUAUAGAUAUGUUCUAUGUAUAUGUAAUCAAAAGUAAGAGAACUGAAGAAUUGUAUUAUGGUUUUUCUUCAGAUUUAAAAGCUCGUAUAGAUAGUCAUAACCAAGGCAAAAACAUCGCUAUAAAAAGCAGUGUACCUUGGGAAUUGAUUUAUUAUGAAGCUUUUAAAUCUACAAAAGAUGCACACAAAAGAGAGUUACAAUUGAAAAAAUAUGGUAACGCUCGAACACAUCUGAAAAAUCGAAUACAAAAUAGUCUUUUGUAAUCUAAAUAAAGUGCUGGGUAAAGAUUUAUCGCUUUGGGAACGGCCUGCGGGCUAUCAGCUUGUUGGUAAGGUAACGGCUUACCAAGGCUACGACGGCUAGGGGAGGUGAGAGCCUGACCCCCACCGAUGGAACUGCGACACGGUCCAUACUCCUACGGGAGGCUGCAGUCGAGAAUCUUCCGCAAUGGACGAAAGUCUGACGGAGCGACGCCGCGUGGUGGAUGAAGUCCUUAGGGACGUAAACACCUUUUAUGGAGGAGAAAGUUUAUUGAUGUUACUCCAUGAAUAAGGGGCUCCCAACUCUGUAGAAUGAACGGUUGGGAACAUUGAGAUUGAGCAUCUCAACAAAUUCUGUAUUACAUUGGUGCAGCACGGGCGAGUAAUUACCCGUGAGAAAACUUGGCUAUAUGCUGGAAAUCUUGUGUGGUCUGCGCCCAGUACUUAUUUUUGCGAAAGUAAAAAUAAGUACUGGGUCCCACAAGACAAUCAGCAGGGAAGUCGCCCAGCACUUAUUUAUUCUCUUUAGAAUAAAUAAGUGCUGGGUUGACCCCUCAGAGACUACACGCCGAGCGCCAGCACUUAAUUAAGUGCUGGAUGAUGAUAUAGUCCGAUUCCUAUCGCGAGGUAGGUGAUCUUCAUUAAAUUUAUGUUAGAAGAUCUAUAAAACACAUUGGCCAGCAGGAGCGGUAAUACAGAGGCCCCAAGCAUUAUCCGGAUUUACUGGGCGUAAAGGGUGCGUAGGCGGUGUGAUUAGUCAGGUGUUAAAUCCUGGGGCUUAACCCCAGAAUCGCAUUUGAAACGGUCACACUAGAAGAAGUCAGAGGCAAGCAGAACUCACGGUGUAGGGGUGAAAUCCGUUGAUAUCGUGGGGAAUACCAAAUGCGAAGGCAGCUUGCUGGGACUCUCUUGACGCUGAGGCACGAAAGCGUGGGUAGCGAAGCGGAUUAGAUACCCGCGUAGUCCACGCCCUAAACGUUGUCUGUUGGUUUUAAGGAGUAUCGACCCUCUUUGAGACGAAGCUAACGCGUUAAACAGACCGCCUGGGUAGUACGAUCGCAAGAUUAAAACUCAAAGGAAUAGACGGGGGCUCGCACAAGCGGUGGAUCAUGUGGCUUAAUUCGUAGCUAAGCGAAGAACCUUACCAAGGCUAGAAAUCUUACUGCACGCCUAGGGAAACCUAGGAAUCCUUCGAGGGUGUAAGACAGGUGAUGCAUGGCCGUCGUCAGUUCGUGGCUUGAGCUGUUCCCUUAAGUGGGGAAACGAACGCAACCCUCGUUGCCUGUUAUAAGUGUCAGGCGAGACUGCUCCCUCACGGGAGAGGAAGGUGAGGAUGACGCCAGGUCAGCAUGUCCCUUGAUGCCUUGGGCUGCACACGUGAUACAAUGGGUGGUACAACGGGACGCAAUACGGUAACGUGGAGCAAAUCCUUAUAAAACCAUCCUCAGUUCGGAUUGAGGUCUGCAACUCGACCUCAUGAAGUUGGAAUCGCUAGUAAUCGUGAAUCAGCAACGUCACGGUGAAUACGUUCCCGAGCCUUGUACUCACAAAUAACUGUGCCCGGCAGCUUUACAAAUGCCAAAUCGUUAAAAUCGAUUCCUCU